RNAcentral lists this ribosomal RNA (218 nucleotides) under uncultured bacterium. RNAcentral describes it as "partial 16S ribosomal RNA". It matches the Rfam family "Bacterial small subunit ribosomal RNA", at positions 57 to 305 of the family's 1533-position model. The record is from RNAcentral.
GCAAGUCGAGCGCACCUUCGGGUGAGCGGCGAACGGGUUAGUAACGCGUGGGAACGUGCCCAGAUCUACGGAAUAGCCUUUGGAAACGAAGAGUAAUACCGUAUACGCCCUUCGGGGGAAAGAUUUAUCGGAUUUGGAUCGGCCCGCGUUAGAUUAGGUAGUUGGUGGGGUAAUGGCCUACCAAGCCUACGAUCUAUAGCUGGUUUGAGAGGAUGAUC